GUCUCUAUGGCUUAGUCGGAGAGUGACGGACUCUCACUAGGGAGAUAUCCUAGGAAAAUAGGGUUCGUAUCCCGGGUGGAGACA
Henosepilachna vigintioctopunctata is the source of this 84-nucleotide non-coding RNA. The record is from the annotation of a GenBank genome assembly. NCBI's taxonomy places the organism in Eukaryota, Metazoa, Arthropoda, Insecta, Coleoptera, Coccinellidae.